RNAcentral lists this ribosomal RNA (447 nucleotides) under uncultured Bdellovibrio sp. RNAcentral describes it as "bacterial SSU rRNA". It matches the Rfam family "Bacterial small subunit ribosomal RNA", at positions 335 to 797 of the family's 1533-position model. The record is from RNAcentral. Lineage: Bacteria; Pseudomonadati; Bdellovibrionota; Bdellovibrionia; Bdellovibrionales; Pseudobdellovibrionaceae.
AGCCUACGGGUGGCUGCAGUAGGGAAUAUUGCGCAAUGGGCGAAAGCCUGACGCAGCGACGCCGCGUGAGUGAUGAAGGCCUUAGGGUCGUAAAGCUCUGUUGAAUGGGAAGAAAAAAAUGACGGUACCAUUCGAGAAAGGACCGGCUAACUUCGUGCCAGCAGCCGCGGUAAGACGAGGGGUCCUAGCGUUGUUCGGAAUCAUUGGGCGUAAAGCGUGUGUAGGUGGCCUUAUAAGUCAGGUGUGAAAGCCCCGGGCUCAACCCGGGAAGUGCACUUGAUACUGUUUGGCUUGAGGACCGAAGAGGAUAGUGGAAUUCCAGGUGUAGUGGUGAAAUACGUAGAUAUCUGGAGGAACACCGGUGGCGAAGGCGGCUAUCUGGUCGAGUACUGACACUGAGACACGAAAGCAUGGGGAUCAAACAGGAUUAGAUACCCGAGUAGUCGA